Molecule: ribosomal RNA, 1226 nt
Filed under: Bacillus paranthracis
Lineage: Bacteria; Bacillati; Bacillota; Bacilli; Caryophanales; Bacillaceae
Description: partial 23S ribosomal RNA
Rfam family: Bacterial large subunit ribosomal RNA
Source: RNAcentral
CUAUACGGAGUUACAAAGGAACGAGGUAGACGAAGCGACCUGGAAAGGUCCGUCGUAGAGGGUAACAACCCCGUAGUCGAAACUUCGUUCUCUCUUGAAUGUAUCCUGAGUACGGCGGAACACGUGAAAUUCCGUCGGAAUCUGGGAGGACCAUCUCCCAAGGCUAAAUACUCCCUAGUGAUCGAUAGUGAACCAGUACCGUGAGGGAAAGGUGAAAAGCACCCCGGAAGGGGAGUGAAAGAGAUCCUGAAACCGUGUGCCUACAAAUAGUCAGAGCCCGUUAACGGGUGAUGGCGUGCCUUUUGUAGAAUGAACCGGCGAGUUACGAUCCCGUGCGAGGUUAAGCUGAAGAGGCGGAGCCGCAGCGAAAGCGAGUCUGAAUAGGGCGUUUAGUACGUGGUCGUAGACCCGAAACCAGGUGAUCUACCCAUGUCCAGGGUGAAGUUCAGGUAACACUGAAUGGAGGCCCGAACCCACGCACGUUGAAAAGUGCGGGGAUGAGGUGUGGGUAGCGGAGAAAUUCCAAUCGAACCUGGAGAUAGCUGGUUCUCCCCGAAAUAGCUUUAGGGCUAGCCUUAAGUGUAAGAGUCUUGGAGGUAGAGCACUGAUUGGACUAGGGGUCCUCAUCGGAUUACCGAAUUCAGUCAAACUCCGAAUGCCAAUGACUUAUCCUUAGGAGUCAGACUGCGAGUGAUAAGAUCCGUAGUCAAAAGGGAAACAGCCCAGACCGCCAGCUAAGGUCCCAAAGUGUGUAUUAAGUGGAAAAGGAUGUGGAGUUGCUUAGACAACUAGGAUGUUGGCUUAGAAGCAGCCACCAUUUAAAGAGUGCGUAAUAGCUCACUAGUCGAGUGACUCUGCGCCGAAAAUGUACCGGGGCUAAAUACACCACCGAAGCUGCGGAUUGAUACCGAAUGGUAUCAGUGGUAGGGGAGCGUUCUAAGGACAGUGAAGUCAGACCGGAAGGACUGGUGGAGUGCUUAGAAGUGAGAAUGCCGGUAUGAGUAGCGAAAGACGGGUGAGAAUCCCGUCCACCGAAUGCCUAAGGUUUCCUGAGGAAGGCUCGUCCGCUCAGGGUUAGUCAGGACCUAAGCCGAGGCCGACAGGCGUAGGCGAUGGACAACAGGUUGAUAUUCCUGUACCACCUCUUUAUCGUUUGAGCAAUGGAGGGACGCAGAAGGAUAGAAGAAGCGUGCGAUUGGUUGUGCACGUCCAAGCAGUUAGGCUGA